This 433-nucleotide ribosomal RNA is filed under the name uncultured bacterium. Its description in RNAcentral is "partial 16S ribosomal RNA". It matches the Rfam family "Bacterial small subunit ribosomal RNA", at positions 29 to 507 of the family's 1533-position model. The record is from RNAcentral.
AACGAACGCUGGCGGCAUGCCUAACACAUGCAAGUCGAACGACACCUUCGGGUCUAGUUGCGCACGGGUGCGUAACGCGUGGGAACCUGCCCUUAGGUUCGGAAUAACUCCCCGAAAGGGGUGCUAAUACCGGAUAAUUUCUUCGGACCAAAGAUUCAUCGCCCUGGGAUGGGCCCGCGUUGGUUUAGCUAGUUGGUAGGGUAAAAGCCUAUCAAGGCGAGGAUCGCUAGCUGGUCUGAGAGGAAGAGCAGCCACACUGGGACUGAGACCCGGCCCAGAAUCUUACGGGAGGCAGCAGUGGGGAAUAUAGGACAACGGGCUAAAGCAUGAUCCCGCAAUGCCGCGUGAGUGAUGAAGGCCUUAGGGUUGUAAAGCUGUUUUACCCGGGAUGAUAAUGACAGUACCGGGAGAAUAAGCUCCGGCUAACUCCGUG